CUUCAUCCUUAUACCUCUGAUGUAAUAAUAAUGCACAUAUUUAUUUCUAUUGUAAAUGCAUUUCUUAUCAAUAAUUUAGCAACAAGUGAGGAGAACACAGACAGUCAGCAGGUGCUCCAGAAGACUAUUGAGACGCUUUAUGUGAGCAUCAGGCAGAGAAAGCAAGAUCUUUACCGUCAAUCAGAUGGGAACAAGAGAAGACACAAACUCCGAAGAAAGAUUUUGGAAGAAAAAAAGCCAAAUUUUUGUGCAGCUGUAGAUGACUACAACAGGGCAGCAACUGAAAAACUGCAGUCAGCUGAUACAAUACUGGCAUCUGAGAGCUAUGCAUGGCCAUGGGUCCUUGAUGAACGUGGUAUGUCUUGUUACUCAUUUAAAUUCGGAUGAAUGUACUGUGUUUAUGUAGCAGCUUAUCUGUUUACAGUGGAUAUUGUUUGCAACUGUUGUACAGCAGGAUAUUUUGCAUGUUUCCUACAGUGUGUAUGCAUUUUGUCCGGCUAUAGCAAGCUUGUUCUGCAAUAGUGUAAGCACAUCUAGGACCGGUUUCACAGACAAGAGCUUAGACUAAGCUAGGAUUAGGUCAUAGGUUUAAGAUUUAAGUAGCUUUUAUAAAUGUGCCAUAGGAAACAAAACAUUACUGGUGCGCUUCUUGCGACCAAACAAUAGCAUUAACAAAUUUUAAGAUAUGUAAGUGCAGAUGGGUUUCAUCUUCACAGAUAAUCUUGCAACCAGGCCUUUGACCAACUGAUGCUGCUGAACCGGCUUACUGAAGAGGAGUGCAUUGUUCUGAAAGAAAUCCGGAAUCACUGGAAAAGCCUUACAAGGGAGCAUUCUCUUCUAAAUGAUCUUUUAAGUCAUGUUGCUGUUGAGAUAAAAGAGAACAAACAGGACUGUGGAAUUUCUGAAAAUGGAAUUCUUGGACUUCACUCUCUUCUGAAGAAAAGACUGUCUUACCUUAGAAGUCACAUCUCCUCUGUUCGUCAGCUGUACAGUAGUGUUCUUAAUUGUGAGGUGUUUGAAAAAAUGAAAGAUGAUGAUCUCAACAUGGAUGAGGAGGAUAUCCAGUAUGUUUUGGAGUAUGAAGAUGAUGAUGACGAGGAGGAGGAGGAGGAGGAAGAUGAAGCCGAAGUCUCAUUUAAAAUCUAAACACUAGGCCAGGGGUAGGUAACGGCGGUCUUGAAGAGCCACUGUCGUGCAGAGUUUAGCUCCAAUCUUGAAAAAAAACUAACUCAACGGCCUGUAGCCUUAGAAAUGCUGAAGACCUUGAUUAGCUUGUUCAGGUGUGUUUGAUUACAGGACAGUGGCUUUCCAGGACCAGCGUUGUCUACCACUGCACUAGCCAUAAUUCAGUUGCUGACUUUGUAAAUCAUAUCUAUGAAAAACUGAGCAACAUACACUAAAUGACUUUCAUUUCAUUUAAUUUAUAUUUAAUUUUUAAUUUCUUAAUUAAUUUCUUGUUAAUUGAUGAAACACUGACGGGGUGUUGUCAGAUAUGUAAUUCCAAAGUGAACUUCUUAUGUUUGUAUAAUAAAUUUCAUAACUGACAUUGUAAAACAUUAUUGCUCUCAUUAUAUGUAUAGUUACUUAUGUAUAGCUUCUUGUAUAUAUGUAUAGCUUCUUGUAUAUAUGUAUAGCUUCUUGAUGUAACAAACAUGUAAUAUGCAUUUAAUGAUUCUCUGGACAAUAUUUUAUCAAAACUUUAUUGAACAUUAUAUUGUCUGUUGCAAAAAUUACAAAAUUGAUCUUACAUUAUUCUUGAACCAUUAUGUAAAUAAAAAUAUCCACCUAGGUUCUUUGUGAUCCGUGCCCUUAUAGACUGAUUAACAUAACUGGUCAGUUUGAUUUAUAGGCAAGUUAAAGUCAGCAUUAUUGAAUUUAUGUGUGAAAUGCAUAAAAUUGAGGAUCUAAUUAAUUUCAUGCUUAAGAAGUUUACAAGUGCCAUAUCUUUAAAAGUCUAAAUGUUGUGCUUUAAUAUUACCUUACUCCCUGGUUUAUACAAUGGGAACCAUAAAAUAUUACUUUAUACUUCUUGGGAAGAUAUAUGUAGGUGUAUACUAUAUGUAUUUAUAGGAAUGUAUGCAUUCAUCUCGUAAUUUUCAAAUUCACCAUAUAAACCCGGAAGACCUGUC
Long non-coding RNA from Cyprinus carpio carpio, 2129 nucleotides. Lineage: Eukaryota; Metazoa; Chordata; Actinopteri; Cypriniformes; Cyprinidae. The record is from Ensembl.